Molecule: ribosomal RNA, 292 nt
Filed under: uncultured bacterium
Lineage: Bacteria
Description: partial 16S ribosomal RNA
Rfam family: Bacterial small subunit ribosomal RNA
Source: RNAcentral
GUGCCAGCAGCCGCGGUAAGACAGAGGGUGCAAACGUUGCUCGGAAUUACUGGGCGUAAAGCGCGUGUAGGCGGGCCGACAAGUCAGAUGUGAAAUCCCUGAGCUCAACUCAGGAACUGCAUUUGAAACUGUCGGCCUUGAGUGGUGGAGAGGGAAGCGGAAUUCCUGGUGUAGAGGUGAAAUUCGUAGAUAUCAGGAGGAACACCGGUGGCGAAGGCGACUUCCUGGACACCAACUGACGCUGAGACGCGAAAGCGUGGGGAGCAAACAGGAUUAGAUACCCUGGUAGUCC